AUUGAACGCUGGCGGCAGGCCUAACACAUGCAAGUCGAGCGGAUGAAGGGAGCUUGCUCCUGGAUUCAGCGGCGGACGGGUGAGUAAUGCCUAGGAAUCUGCCUGGUAGUGGGGGAUAACGUCCGGAAACGGGCGCUAAUACCGCAUACGUCCUGAGGGAGAAAGUGGGGGAUCUUCGGACCUCACGCUAUCAGAUGAGCCUAGGUCGGAUUAGCUAGUUGGUGGGGUAAAGGCCUACCAAGGCGACGAUCCGUAACGGUCUGAGAGGAUGAUCAGUCACACUGGAACUGAGACACGGUCCAGACUCCUACGGGAGGCAGCAGUGGGGAAUAUUGGACAAUGGGCGAAAGCCUGAUCCAGCCAUGCCGCGUGUGUGAAGAAGGUCUUCGGAUUGUAAAGCACUUUAAGUUGGGAGGAAGGGCAGUAAGUUAAUACCUUGCUGUUUUGACGUUACCAACAGAAUAAGCACCGGCUAACUUCGUG
RNAcentral lists this ribosomal RNA (483 nucleotides) under uncultured bacterium. RNAcentral describes it as "partial 16S ribosomal RNA". It matches the Rfam family "Bacterial small subunit ribosomal RNA", at positions 30 to 507 of the family's 1533-position model. The record is from RNAcentral.